UUCUCAGUAAAACGUCUUAUUCGAUAAGAUCUUUCAGGAGUAUGCAUGUCUUGCAAACCGGGGAUUUCCUGUGGUAAUAUUAUCUCCAGUAUCAUCGCCCUCUAUUCCGAGGCCGUCCAAGUCAAUGGGGGGUGGUUCCAACUCAUCGAGGGCCUCACCAUUACCCUCAAGUGCCAGCCUCGAAUGUGCAGCCAGGAGGAUACUAGUGACAUCUGCCUCGCGCGUAGCAGGGAUUACAGCCUGUCAGCAUGCAUGCAAGAAGAAAUUUGACUCGUCAAUGCCAUUUGGACAGUCCACCGCUCCAUCACACAUCGCCGUGUUGUUGACACAUAUAUUGCUCGGGUCCAGUGAACAAAGAACAGUACCAGUUUCACAAGCUGGAAUAAAGUUCACGUGCAUGCAAGUAUUAUAGUAAUGCAUGUAUGUACAAUUAGUUUGGAAUGAAUGACUCACUGCCACAUGUUUGUAUCGUCUCAUCAGUACCUCCCGCACAAUCGGGUACUCCAUCACAGAAUCUCUCAAAUGGUAAACACAUCUCUUCAUUACAUUGGGACAUGCCAGGGGGGCACAGCAACGUAAUCCCUGCAGCAGGAAAAUGCGGGACCUUGAAAGACAUUGCGGAAAAUUGCUAUCUGGCAACAAACACAGUGGUAGCUCAUCUUCACCAGGACAACCUUCAUGUAUGUAUGGGGAAAGCACGUAGGAUCGAACCAACAAAAAAGUGGCCAGCUAAUAAUUUUGGUCACCCUUCAACUGACCGCAGGCAAUGACUGAUUCAUCUAUUCCAUCAGGACAGUCUACUACCCCAUCACAGCCGCGAGAGUUUUCCACACAGGUCAUACUCGGGUCACCAGGACACUGAAUAAACCCAGUGGAGCAAUCUAUAUAUAAAUAAAUAAUAGUAGUUAGCUGGCAUAAAUAUAUAUAUAAAUUCAGACCCAGCUAGGGUUUUGUGCAGGCACAAGAUUUCCAGUACAUUACUUGGAUUAAUAUAAUUAUAGCAAAUUUCACCUUCCUCUUCUUUACAUGCAUAUUUCAGUGUUACACUUAUUUGCACAUUUCAAGUUCACUUACUUCCACAAAAUUCUCCAGGAGCUGUAGACUCAUCACGACCAUUGGAGCAAUCUAUAACUCCAUCACAAAAGCGUUCAAUGGGGAUACAGCUGCUUGUUGAAACUGGCUCCCCAGAAUUGCAGUAAAUUGUACCACCAGGACAGACUAUACAAACGGAAGACAUCACAUUUUCAUUACAGAAGAGCCGAUUAUAACAAGGAUAGGUAUAAUAAUUAUUACCGGGGUGUGUAGUUGAAAAAACCUAGAGGUGGGCCCUAUAUAUAAACACAACGUAAUAUGCAGUAAUUCUCAUUUGGAGUCAACAGAAUAUACAGCAAAAUUGGUCGUGUGCAUGGAGCUUUGCAAAUUUUUUUCAACGUACUAUUAUAGACUGUAUAACAUGUCACUGUGUUUGCAACUACAUGCAUACCUCAGUCCUCAUAAAUUAAAAAAGUGUAAGCAUCAGAGGAGGUACGACAGGCGCGGUGCAGCUCAAGCAAUUAGCCUUUGCUUGAGCAAUAAUUAUCCGCCCAGGCCCCGCUCACGUCGUAUGUUUUUGCUGCACCGCGCCUGUCGGACCUCUUCUGCAUGUACAUGUCUCGACGCACAGGACGUAUUGGGACAAGUUGUGCAGUGAAGCAUUGAACAGACGAACUUACAGAAAAAUUGUGGCAAUGGUAUAGGAAAAUCAGGUCCAACACUGGGGCACUGUGAAUCUGUGUUUGGAGAUACAUCAAAAAGUGCAAAACAAUAGUGCGAAUUGUACAAAAUCGUGUCACUUACUGCAGUCGAUUUCAUCGUUUCCAUUGGGACAGUCUGGUUCCCCGUCACAGACAUACGGAAAAGGAAGAAAACAGUUGUUUUCAUCGCCACAACUGAAGCCAAGUCCAAUAGAUAAACGAUGACUCAUCUAUGCCAUUGGGACAAUCCAGCUGUCCAUUACAAAUUAACAUAUUGCUUAUGCAAGUGUUGUUAUCAUCAUUGCAAGAGAGAAAACCAGCGGUACAAUCUGAUAGUGUAAAGAAACAUCAGUCAUUUUAUCUACAUGGGCAAUGAUCACUUACUUUCACACAUUACAUUGCUCUCGUCCGUACCGUUACUGCAGUCUGGUAUUCCAUCACAGAAUCGCUCAAAUACCAGACACUCCGAAGCUUCUUCAUUGCAGGGUGCACUACCCAAAGGGCAAAUGGGAAGAUCUAAUAAUUAAAACCAUAUCAAUACAGGGAACAACCAAGUAUCUCGACUAUAGAGUAUACGUGCAAUAGUAUAAUUAUAAGAUGUCCACACUCUCAUCCUCCCCGUUUUCACAGUCUAUCUCUCCAUUACAUACCAGACUGCUCGAGAUACACUGAGUGCUACCGUCAAGGAACUUGCAAACUUGCAAAUCUCCCAUGUUGGGGCAGCCUG
Molecule: long non-coding RNA, 2460 nt
Organism: Halichondria panicea
Lineage: Eukaryota; Metazoa; Porifera; Demospongiae; Suberitida; Halichondriidae
Exons: 5
Source: RefSeq, a predicted model, not a curated record